This 446-nucleotide ribosomal RNA is filed under the name uncultured bacterium. RNAcentral's name for it is "bacterial SSU rRNA". It matches the Rfam family "Bacterial small subunit ribosomal RNA", at positions 329 to 792 of the family's 1533-position model. The record is from RNAcentral.
GUCCAGACUCCUACGGGAGGCAGCAGUGGGGAAUAUUGCACAAUGGGGGAAACCCUGAUGCAGCGACGCCGCGUGAGCGAUGAAGUAUUUCGGUAUGUAAAGCUCUAUCAGCAGGGAAGAAGAUGACGGUACCUGACUAAGAAGCCCUGGCUAACUACGUGCCAGCAGCCGCGGUAAUACGUAGGGGGCAAGCGUUAUCCGGAUUUACUGGGUGUAAAGGGAGCGUAGACGGCGAUGCAAGCCAGAUGUGAAAGCCCGGGGCUCAACCCCGGGACUGCAUUUGGAACUGUGUGGCUGGAGUGUCGGAGAGGCAGGCGGAAUUCCUAGUGUAGCGGUGAAAUGCGUAGAUAUUAGGAGGAACACCAGUGGCGAAGGCGGCCUGCUGGACGAUGACUGACGUUGAGGCUCGAAAGCGUGGGGAGCAAACAGGAUUAGAUACCCUUGUA